UCAGGAACACAGCUAUAGGAACUGGGUCGUGCAGUUUUAUCAGAUCAGGAAUGAUUCAGACUAUGAUCUGGGCAGGAUACGUUUUACAGUGCAGGGAGACUUGUAGUCGACUGGAGUCGUUAUUUCUCAGAACAGAAAUUUAUCUGAGGGACGAGAUAUAACAAUGGCUUUAGUGGCGGACUGGUGAGUAACACGUAAGAAACCUGCCUAUUAGAGGGGAAUAACAACGAGAAAUCGUUGCUAAUACCGCAUAAGCUAGUAGUACCGCAUGGUACAGCUAGAAAAGGAGAAAUCCGCUAAUAGAUGGUCUUGCGUCCGAUUAGCUAGUUGGUGGGGUAACGGCCUACCAAGGCAACGAUCGGUAGCCGAGCUGAGAGGCUCAACGGCCGCAUUGGGACUGAGAUACGGCCCAGACUCCUACGGGAGGCAGCAGUCGGGAAUAUUGCGCAAUGGAGGAAACUCUGACGCAGUGACGCCGCGUAUAGGAAGAAGGUUUUCGGAUUGUAAACUAUUUUAGACAGGGAAGAAAUUGACAGUACCUGUAGAAUAAGCUCCGGCUAACUACGUGCCAGCAGCCGCGGUAAUACGUAGGGAGCAAGCGUUAUCCGGAUUUAUUGGGUGUAAAGGGUGCGUAGACGGGAGAACAGGUUAGUUGUGAAAGCCCUCGGCUUAACUGAGGAACUGCAACUAAAACUAUUUUUCUUGAGUGCAGGAGAGGAAAGCGGAAUUCCUAGUGUAGCGGUGAAAUGCGUAGAUAUUAGGAGGAACACCAGUGGCGAAGGCGGCUUUCUGGACUGUAACUGACGUUGAGGCACGAAAGUGUGGGGAGCAAACAGGAUUAGAUACCCUGGUAGUCCACACCGUA
RNAcentral lists this ribosomal RNA (865 nucleotides) under uncultured bacterium. RNAcentral describes it as "bacterial SSU rRNA". It matches the Rfam family "Bacterial small subunit ribosomal RNA", at positions 1 to 804 of the family's 1533-position model. The record is from RNAcentral.